This 119-nucleotide ribosomal RNA is filed under the name Neogale vison (American mink). Lineage: Eukaryota; Metazoa; Chordata; Mammalia; Carnivora; Mustelidae. The record is from RNAcentral.
GUCUAUGGCCAUACUACCCUGAACGCGCCCGAUCUCGUCUGAUCUCGGAAGCUAAGCAGGGUUGGACCUGGUUAGUACUUGGAUGGAAGACUGCCUGGGAAUACCAGGUGCUUUCGCUU